UAAAUUGAGAGUUUGAUCCUGGCUCAGGAUGAACGCUGGCGGCGUGCUUAACACAUGCAAGUCGAGCGAUGAAGUUUCCUUCGGGAAACGGAUUAGCGGCGGACGGGUGAGUAACACGUGGGUAACCUGCCUCAUAGAGUGGAAUAGCCUUCCGAAA
Molecule: ribosomal RNA, 157 nt
Filed under: Clostridium perfringens
Lineage: Bacteria; Bacillati; Bacillota; Clostridia; Eubacteriales; Clostridiaceae
Description: partial 16S ribosomal RNA
Rfam family: Bacterial small subunit ribosomal RNA
Source: RNAcentral